Molecule: ribosomal RNA, 455 nt
Filed under: uncultured bacterium
Lineage: Bacteria
Description: bacterial SSU rRNA
Rfam family: Bacterial small subunit ribosomal RNA
Source: RNAcentral
GAUGAACGCUGGCGGCGUGCCUAAUACAUGCAAGUCGAACGCACAGCGAAAGGUGCUUGCACCUUUCAAGUGAGUGGCGAACGGGUGAGUAACACGUGGAUAACCUACCUCAAGGUUGGGGAUAACAUUUGGAAACAGAUGCUAAUACCGAAUAAAACUUAGUAUCGCAUGAUACCAGGUUAAAAGGCGCUACGGCGUCACCUAGAGAUGGAUCCGCGGUGCAUUAGUUAGUUGGUGGGUAAAGGCUUACCAAGACAAUGAUGCAUAGCCGAGUUGAGAGACUGAUCGGCCACAUUGGGACUGAGACACGGCCCAAACUCCUACGGGAGGCUGCAGUAGGGAAUACUUCCACAAUGGGCGAAAGCCUGAUGGAGCAACGCCGCGUGCGUGAUGAAGGCUUUCGGGUCGUAAAGCACUGUUGAUGGGAAGAACAGCUAGAGUAGGGAAUGACUUAG